CCUACGGGUGGCAGCAGUGAGGAAUAUUGGUCAAUGGACGCGAGUCUGAACCAGCCAAGUCGCGUGCAGGAAGACGGCCCUAUGAGUUGUAAACUUCUUUUGUACGGGGGUAAACGCAGAUACGUGUAUCUGUUUGAAAGUAUCGUACGAAUAAGGAUCGGCUAACUCCGUGCCAGCAGCCGCGGUAAUACGGAGGAUUCAAGCGUUAUCCGGAUUUAUUGGGUUUAAAGGGUGCGUAGGCGGUCGGUUAAGUUAGUUGUGAAAUUCCGAGGCUCAACUUCGGAAUUGCCUGUGAUACUGUUCGGCUUGAGAGUAGUUGCGGUAGGCGGAAUGUGUGGUGUAGCGGUGAAAUGCUUAGAGAUCAUACAGAACUCCGAUUGCGAAGGCAGCUUACCAAGCUACUUCUGACGUUGAGGCACGAAAGCGUGGGUAGCAAACAGGAUUAGAUACCCGGGUAGUC
This 460-nucleotide ribosomal RNA is filed under the name uncultured bacterium. Its description in RNAcentral is "partial 16S ribosomal RNA". It matches the Rfam family "Bacterial small subunit ribosomal RNA", at positions 338 to 795 of the family's 1533-position model. The record is from RNAcentral.